Phyllostomus discolor (pale spear-nosed bat) is the source of this 528-nucleotide long non-coding RNA. RefSeq lists it as uncharacterized. NCBI's taxonomy places the organism in Eukaryota, Metazoa, Chordata, Mammalia, Chiroptera, Phyllostomidae. The transcript has 2 exons. The record is from RefSeq and is a predicted model, not a curated record.
GGGCUCUGUGUCCAUAGAAGCCAGCCCACAGAUUCUUGAUACUUGAGGUCAGCAAGCUACUGAGGAGGACCCCUGAGCUUUCUACCCAGUGACCUUGUGGGGUUCAGCCUUUCCUGACCACCUGAUCACACGCACUGGUCCUGGGCAGUUUUAUUAACAUUAAGCAGCUCCAAGUACAGUCCAUGCUUUAGGUAACUAUUUUUUUGAUUAACAGCCCACUGAAUAGUGAGUUACAAAAUCAAAAGCAAUUCCUGUAGCUAAAAUCUAUUUUUUCUUUUAUUAAUGAUUUUCCUGUUUGUUUUCUCCACCACUACUUGUCACAAAGAAAUGCCUGGUUUUGUGAUAAAGUUAGAAAAUAGAUCAGUAAAAGGGGGGAGAAAAAUCAUACGAAAUCUCAAUACCCAGAGAAAAUCACUUUUUGGUUCAGAAGGUGCAAUAAUGGUAGUCCAUGCAGGUUAAAAUUUUUAAUUACUUGCCAACAUUUUAAAAUAAAAGCUUUUAAUAUUUAAAUCCAGAUUUCCAUGUUUU